This is a long non-coding RNA of Mastomys coucha (southern multimammate mouse), 4164 nucleotides long. RefSeq lists it as uncharacterized. The record is from RefSeq and is a predicted model, not a curated record. The transcript is spliced from 2 exons. Lineage: Eukaryota; Metazoa; Chordata; Mammalia; Rodentia; Muridae.
CGCAGACCUCCGAACACGCCCCUCUCACCUAAGAGACCGGUUGGCUGGACUGCACCAGCCCAACGACACGCCUCUUCCCGGUUUUGAGAGAGCAAGCUUGCAAGUCUGCCAAGGCUCUGAAGGAGCCCGUAAACCGGCCAGUACACUGACUGCUCCUAUCCUAUUCAUCAAGCAACCUAACCAGGUAGUGCCAGGCCCACAGACAGAGAGGAUGCCAGGCCCUGGGGGUGCGGGCUCUUCUGGGCAGUCGGGCUAGCAGAGCCUUCCUGCUUUGCCACAGCCACCAUCUAUGUGCCAACAUCUUGGACCACCCAAGGCCCAUGGAGCCAAACCACAUUACCACUCACCUCCAUGGCAUCCAGAGACAGGUUGCAGGAGAGCUCAAAUCUCUUCACCAGGAUUUGCUCCCGGACGUGGUAAAGGCACACGAAUUUGGACAUGCCCCCCGCCAGGAUGUUCUGCCCGUCCGCAGAGUAACACAGGGUGGUGAAGGCCCUGGGUAGAAGACACAGUUUCUCAAGCACCACUCACUGUGACAUGUGCGCUCAAAAGCCAACUGGAACAGGUAGGACGCACCCCACCGUGAUACCCUAGGAGGCAAAUACUUAUCACACUAGGGUGGCGCAAGGUUCCCCGGCUAACCUCAACAAGGCAGGUACACUGGAGAUCCUCAAAGACAGCACCCACCCACCACUCCUUUCCUUUCUUAGAUGGCACCACCUGCGGGAGCCUGUGACAUCCCAGAAUCAGUCCAGAACCAAACGGGUCCGAAAGGGCAGAAAAUGCAGCCCUGGUGUAUACCAGAUAGUCAGCAAUGGCUUGCCAAUGGAGAACUCUUAUCACAUGUUUAGACUCAGCAAAUCCACAGCAUCUCCUUGUUGGUAUGAUGCGGGCUCGCAUAGACCAGAGGCCCGCCUACCUCCACUAGAGACUAAGCGGUCUAAGAAUGUAUUUGGCAAACAAGCAAAGGGGCUCUGUGCCCUGUGGACCGCGCCCCACCCCGUUGGAAGAGCAGACACUCACUUGCCCUUGGCUGCGUGCUUGGCUGUGAUCUUGUCCAGUUCCUUCCUGCCGGUCUUCAGGUCAUGCCUGCCCUCGAUGGAGCCCACCUGUACAGCAUUCUCAGGGUCCCAGAAAGUGAUCUGUGAAUUCAGCGUGGCCACAGCCAGCUCUGCACCAUCAGGCCGGAAAGUUACCGCUAGGGCUAGAGAGAGAUGGACAUCAGGCCCAGGAGGCCAGCGAACCCCAAGGUGCAUAGGGAAUUCAUCCAGAGCGGCACCAAGCCUGGAGGCAAGAGCGCUGAACACAACAGCCGGGGACAAACCAGUUCCCUGAUGAUAUGGGUAGUGGGGGGUGGGGAGUGGUGGCCCUUUGUGCCACGCAGACACAAGAGCUCCUAAGGCAGCACAGGGUGAGCAGCCUCAGGGAUGCAGUGUGUUGGUUCCUCAGGUGACAAGAGAGUCACACAGGUCGCCCUAUAUAGCUCAGUCUGCCUCUGGCACUGCCUUUACCUUAAAGGCUGCUCUGGAAACCAAUAGGGAAUGUGACAGCCUGACGCAGCUGGACAGUGGACUCAGUGACCAGUUCUCUCUCGCCAUGCCACCAACCUAGGGGUGUGCUGAGCUGCUGGGUCUGGGGGUCCAGCAUCCUCACCUCCCACUGAGCUCACAUCAAAAACCCAACAAGGGCCGAGGAGGAGGCGGCACACUUAGAGAACAUCAGGCUGGAUGGUAACAGGAGAAAAUCGGCUCUGGCCCCAGUCCAUCUGCAGACCCAGCCCCAGCUCACCGUCAGAGGUCAGAGUCAAAGUUUCUUUGGUUCUCCAACUGUCAAACAUGUCCCACAGGCGCACUGUCUUGUCCCAAGAGGCACUAGCCAGGAUGGACUUCAUUGGGUUAAAGCAAAGACCACUGAUGGGUCCCUCGUGGCCAGACAGAACCUACAGAGGCGGAGGAUCAGAGACAGAUGUGGGAUGUGGGAAGGCUGGAGCCCUAUCUCGGGCUGUGAGGAAGAGUGUGGGGAGCCCUGACGGAUGGGCCGAACCCUCCAUUAACUGCCACUGCUUGUUACAUGGAGUUCUGUGCUUGGCUCUGCACCCAGGUCCCCGAGCCGAGCCCCAGCCACUGCGGGACAGCCUUGCCCACCUGCCCCCAAGCACUCUAAGGACGUGGACUAGGGGACCAGGUUGCUCUUACAUCCAGUAGCCUGCCUGUCUGCAUGGACCACACAAAGAUCUCAAAGGAGUCCUGCGCCCCUGCAGAGAUGAUUUCUCCACUGGAGUCGACAGCCACACAGGAGAACUGUGUGGGGCGCGGAGACGUGAAGGUGCGGAAAUUCCGGUACCUGAACAGAGAGAAGGUCCAGGGAGACGUCAACACACACCCGUGCCUCUUGAGUGCUUUGUCCACGAAGGACCUGGAGCCCCCAGGGUGCUUGGUAGGCAGGACUCACCUGUGAAGAUCGAAGGCUCUCACGGUGCCAUCCAAGGAGGAGGUGACGAUGACAUGGCCCGUGGUGGUGAACGUCACGCCUGUGACCCCACUCGUGUGCUCCGUGAGAGUGACAAAGCAGAAGCCACUGAGGGUGUUCCACACUUUGACCUAGAGAGCGAACACAUGGGAGGGAGCUAUGAACACAGCUACCACACACAGCCAUAGCGGCUAUACCAGGUGAUGGUUCCCGUCAUCACCGCUGGGUGGAGACUCAGGGUGUGAGGGUGGCAGUGAGAAUUCUAAUGCAGGUGAAUGUGGCCUGAGCCAGGCCCAGCCAGCGCCUGACGCUUCACAUGUUGCCUGGGGCCUGGAACUCUCAGAGUCAGAAACAUGAACACUUGGACCCUCUCCAUUCUAAGUCCACUAAAUGAUCUUUUAGGGGCCCACGAGGGCUGUUAGCCUGAGAAUUGGAGGCCAAACUUCCGCCCACCCACCUGGCCUACCCACAGCUCAGCCCGAUGAAGCCCGGUACUCACCUUGCCAUCGUCCCCACCAGUGACAAUAUACUGCCCAUCAGGGGAGUAGGCCAGGGCCACCAUGCUGUUGAAGUGGCCCUGCUGCUUGAGCACGUAGGAUUCACUCUGCCAUUCCCACACCAGCAGCUGGCCCAUGCCUGUGGGCACAGGAAAGCGGGAGUUACUGUCUAGAUGCCGCCCCACCCCCAGCCUGUGGGCAUGGCAUGGGACAGGGGACAGGGACACAGUCAGCCGGGUCUGGACUCACCUCUAGCACACACUGAGAGCACAGGCCUAAGGCAGCCCAGGGCAUGGGAAUCAAAAGAGCUAGGACAGAAAGUGAACCCCACCCCCACUGCGGAGACUGACACCAUCUGCAGCCCUGCAGGUGACUGGACUGGAUGGAUCCAGGACUACUAGGCAGGGAUGCGGGCGCCUCUGCAGGCCAAGACGAAAGGGCCAUUUUACACUAGAAUUUAAGUAUGAGUGUGAGCCUCAGAAGAUUGCCCAACUCUAGCCUACACUGACUCUCCUGAAGUAUACACCUAGAGCCUACACUCCUGCUUAGAUGGGCCCUGGGAAGUUCCUCUCCCCAGGAGAGCAGGCUUCUACUCCACAAGGCACAGAGUGGCACUCUGGGACCCCACAAGGUCCAGUCUGGCUUGACCCGGCUCUUCGCCCAAAGACCUGACUUUAGGUCGGCUUUUGGGCAGAUGCGUCCCUUCUACAGGGAACCUACCUGAGCAGCCAAAGGCGAUCCAGUCACCAGAGCUGUUGAUGGCAACCGAAGCAACCCUCUGAUCGGAGAUGCUGGGUGGACAAGAGCAUAGUGAGGCUAGGGUGACCAGGAGCGGCCAUCCUGUAAACUACCACACCCCUCCCCGCUCCUGGAAGAGCCCAGGCCCUGCUUGCUGGAAUCUGCCAGCGGUCACUAGAGAAACUAGCACUUUAACACGCUCUAUGCUCCUGAGAUGAAGAACGGAAUGGAAAGACCAAGGAUGGGGAGUGGACCCCGACCCUCACACCCAAGACUGGCAUCUGUGGCUCAAGUGUAGGAUGCAGUGGUUGGUAGGAAGCUGUCCCGCAGGCCCAUUCACUGGGGCCCUCACUGCACAUGCACGGGAGCAUCCCAGUGAGCUGCACUUACCUCAGGGAGUGGAUGAGGUUGAACUCUGGGAGCUCGUGCAGAUGGAAGAUUCCAGAAGCAAAACCCGUGA